UAAAGCUCUAUCUACAGAAGUUAAGAAUUUCUGUACGAGGAAUAUCAUACACAAUGUGCAAAAAAUGUUCUUAAGGUAUAACUCAUUAACUAUUCCUUCGCCACCCUUAAUUUCCUACGAGACUCUCCCUCCUUGGAUGAGAGAUAAUUCUUUCAUUCUUCACGGGCACCGUCCUUGUUUAAAAAAAUGGAAUGACGUCUUCCAUAGUUUAUUUUACUUUCAUAACCAGACUUUUAAUAUAUAUUCUCACUUAAUCACGGGUCUCAUAUUUAUUGGAAUGCUACUCCACACCUUAUAUGUUCGCAAGAAUUUUUAUUUUCCGCACUUGCUCUUUUUAUGCAGUGGAACUUUCUGCUUUUUAUCAUCCUCCUUAUUCCACCUUUGCUUUUGUCAUUCACCAGAGAUUCUAGAGCUAGGAAGCCGUUUUGAUUAUAUUGGCAUCCUUAUAAUGAUUUACUCUUCAAGUAAUCUUUUGGCCUUCUACGGCUUAUACGACUGCCAUCUUUACUUGUACUACGGCGGGGCACUUUCCUCGAGCUGUUGCACACUUUUUUGCGUCAGUAUUUGCUGCCGGAAAGGUUCCUGCAAAGCCGCUAAUCGCAGCAAACGUGCUGUUUUGUUUGUCGUGGUUGGUGGCCUCUGCGGCCUUCCUGUUCUGAUUUCGUACUACCUUGCGGGUUAUCCACAGCUUACAAAGAUCUUUCAAGCUCAUCUUGUGCUAUUAGAAGUGGUGAUAUACUGCUUGGGGGCCUGCUUUUUCUCUUGGCUGAUACCCGAAAGAUGGUCCCCCGGAAAAUUCGACUUAAUUUUUAAUAGCCACAACCUACUUCACAUAACCAGCACUACUGCAGGCCUCCUGCACUAUUAUAUUGUUAGGCGUAUCGAUAGUAGUGCUGCUAAUUGGACUUGCCUUACCUUAUAAUUAUUGCCAACCCAACCUCGAAGCAUUGGCCUUAACUUAGAUGAGAAAAAAUAACGUUUUCUUUGCUAGAGUAAAAUUUAACGAGUAAUGAGUAAUUCCUGCCUUCGACCGUUUUCAGCUGUGGAGAUCACGUCAUAAGUGGGAAAGAUAGCGGCUUAUCAACUUGGAAUAUUCAUAACAGGGCUGUGGAAAGAGUGGUUGCUCACUUUGAUUUAAAUUUCGAAGAUGUUCGUUAUGAAGUGAAACUAGUACUUGAAGUUUGUACAGCAGAGAACGUUUAGCA
This is a long non-coding RNA of Zophobas morio, 1205 nucleotides long. RefSeq lists it as uncharacterized. The transcript has 4 exons. NCBI's taxonomy places the organism in Eukaryota, Metazoa, Arthropoda, Insecta, Coleoptera, Tenebrionidae. The record is from RefSeq and is a predicted model, not a curated record.